Molecule: ribosomal RNA, 432 nt
Filed under: uncultured bacterium
Lineage: Bacteria
Description: partial 16S ribosomal RNA
Rfam family: Bacterial small subunit ribosomal RNA
Source: RNAcentral
AACGAACGCUGGCGGCAUGCCUAACACAUGCAAGUCGAACGAGACCUUCGGGUCUAGUGGCGCACGGGUGCGUAACGCGUGGGAACCUGCCCUUAGGUUCGGAAUAACUCCCCGAAAGGGGUGCUAAUACCGGAUAAUGUCUUCGGACCAAAGAUUUAUCGCCUUUGGAUGGGCCCUCGUUGGAUUAGCUAGUUGGUAGGGUAAAAGCCUACCAAGGCGACGAUCCAUAGCUGGUCUGAGAGGAUGAUCAGCCACACUGGGACUGAGACACGGCCCAGACCCCUACGGGGGGCAGCAGUGGGGAAUAUGGGACAAGGGGCGAAAGCCUGACCCAGCAAUGCCGGGUGAGUGAUGAAGGCCUUAGGGUUUUAAAGCUCUUUUACCCGGGAUGAUAAUGACAGUACCGGGAGAAUAAGCCCCGGCUAACCCCGU